RNAcentral lists this ribosomal RNA (465 nucleotides) under Vreelandella stevensii. RNAcentral's name for it is "partial 16S ribosomal RNA". It matches the Rfam family "Bacterial small subunit ribosomal RNA", at positions 338 to 795 of the family's 1533-position model. The record is from RNAcentral. Lineage: Bacteria; Pseudomonadati; Pseudomonadota; Gammaproteobacteria; Oceanospirillales; Halomonadaceae.
CCUACGGGUGGCAGCAGUGGGGAAUAUUGGACAAUGGGCGAAAGCCUGAUCCAGCCAUGCCGCGUGUGUGAAGAAGGCCUUCGGGUUGUAAAGCACUUUCAGUGGGGAAGAAAGCCUUGGGGCUAAUACCCUCGAGGAAGGACAUCACCCACAGAAGAAGCACCGGCUAACUCCGUGCCAGCAGCCGCGGUAAUACGGAGGGUGCGAGCGUUAAUCGGAAUUACUGGGCGUAAAGCGCGCGUAGGCGGUCUGAUAAGCCGGUUGUGAAAGCCCCGGGCUCAACCUGGGAACGGCAUCCGGAACUGUCAGGCUAGAGUGCAGGAGAGGAAGGUAGAAUUCCCGGUGUAGCGGUGAAAUGCGUAGAGAUCGGGAGGAAUACCAGUGGCGAAGGCGGACUUCUGGACUGACACUGACGCUGAGGUGCGAAAGCGUGGGUAGCAAACAGGAUUAGAUACCCCUGUAGUC